CUACGGAGGAUCCGAGCGUUAUCCGGAUUUAUUGGGUUUAAAGGGUGCGCAGGCGGCCAUUUAAGUCAGCGGUUAAAUCGUGGGGCUCAACCCCAUUCUGCCGUUGAUACUGGGUGGCUUGAUUGCGGUCGAGGUUGGCGGAAUUCGUUGUGUAGCGGUGAAAUGCAUAGAUAUGACGAAGAACACCGAUUGCGUAGGCAGCUGACCAGACCGCAAAUGACGCUCAUGCACGAAAGUGCGGGGAUCGAACAGGAUUAGAUACCCUGGUAGUCCGCACAGUAAACGAUGAAUGCUUGUUUUCGGCGAUAUAAUGUCGGAGGCAAAGCGAAAGCGAUAAGUAUUCCACCUGGGGAGUACGCCGGCAACGGUGAAACUCAAAUGAAUUGACGGGG
Molecule: ribosomal RNA, 392 nt
Filed under: uncultured bacterium
Lineage: Bacteria
Description: partial 16S ribosomal RNA
Rfam family: Bacterial small subunit ribosomal RNA
Source: RNAcentral